RNAcentral lists this ribosomal RNA (1248 nucleotides) under Clover yellow edge phytoplasma. Its description in RNAcentral is "bacterial SSU rRNA". It matches the Rfam family "Bacterial small subunit ribosomal RNA", at positions 153 to 1399 of the family's 1533-position model. The record is from RNAcentral. Lineage: Bacteria; Bacillati; Mycoplasmatota; Mollicutes; Acholeplasmatales; Acholeplasmataceae.
GAAACGACUGCUAAGACUGGAUAGGAAAAGUAAAGGCAAUCUUUACUUUUUUAAAAGACCUUCUUUGGAGGUAUGCUUAAGGAGGGGCUUGCGACACAUUAGUUAGUUGGCAGGGUAAAGGCCUACCAAGACUAUGAUGUGUAGCUGGACUGAGAGGUUGAACAGCCACAUUGGGACUGAGACACGGCCCAAACUCCUACGGGAGGCAGCAGUAGGGAAUUUUCGGCAAUGGAGGAAACUCUGACCGAGCAACGCCGCGUGAACGAUGAAGUACCUCGGUAUGUAAAGUUCUUUUAUUAAGGAAGAAAAAAGAGUGGAAAAACUCCCUUGACGGUACUUAAUGAAUAAGCCCCGGCUAAUUAUGUGCCAGCAGCCGCGGUAAUACAUAAGGGGCGAGCGUUAUCCGGAAUUAUUGGGCGUAAAGGGUGCGUAGGCGGUUUAAUAAGUCUAUAGUUUAAUUUCAGUGCUUAACGCUGUUGUGCUAUAGAAACUGUUUUACUAGAGUGAGAUAGAGGCAAGCGGAAUUCCAUGUGUAGCGGUAAAAUGCGUAAAUAUAUGGAGGAACACCAGAGGCGUAGGCGGCUUGCUGGGUCUUUACUGACGCUGAGGCACGAAAGCGUGGGGAGCAAACAGGAUUAGAUACCCUGGUAGUCCACGCCGUAAACGAUGAGUACUAAGUGUCGGGUAAAACCGGUACUGAAGUUAACACAUUAAGUACUCCGCCUGAGUAGUACGUACGCAAGUAUGAAACUUAAAGGAAUUGACGGGACUCCGCACAAGCGGUGGAUCAUGUUGUUUAAUUCGAAGAUACACGAAAAACCUUACCAGGUCUUGACAUUUUCUUGCGAAGUUAUAGAAAUAUAAUGGAGGUUAUCAGGAAAACAGGUGGUGCAUGGUUGUCGUCAGCUCGUGUCGUGAGAUGUUAGGUUAAGUCCUAAAACGAGCGCAACCCUUGUCGUUAAUUGCCAGCAUGUAAUGAUGGGGACUUUAACGAGACUGCCAAUGAAAAAUUGGAGGAAGGUGGGGAUUACGUCAAAUCAUCAUGCCCCUUAUGAUCUGGGCUACAAACGUGAUACAAUGGUUGAUACAAAGAGUAGCUGAAACGCGAGUUCUUAGCCAAUCUCACAAAAUCAAUCUCAGUUCGGAUUGAAGUCUGCAACUCGACUUCAUGAAGUUGGAAUCGCUAGUAAUCGCGAAUCAGCAUGUCGCGGUGAAUACGUUCUCGGGGUUUGUACACACCGCCCGUCA